Molecule: ribosomal RNA, 620 nt
Filed under: uncultured bacterium
Lineage: Bacteria
Description: bacterial SSU rRNA
Rfam family: Bacterial small subunit ribosomal RNA
Source: RNAcentral
GGGUGCGCAACACGUGAGCAACUUGCCCGUGACAGGGGGAUAAGCGAUGGAAACGUCGUCUAACAUCCCGUAACACUAGAGGGGGCAUCCCCAUUAGUUGAAAACUCCGGUGGUCACGGAUGGGCUCGCGGGACAUUAGCUAGUUGGCGGGGCAACGGCCCACCAAGGCGACGAUGUCUAGGGGUUCUGAGAGGAAGAUCCCCCACACUGGAACUGAGACACGGUCCAGACUCCUACGGGAGGCAGCAGUGAGGAAUAUUGGUCAAUGGGCGGAAGCCUGAACCAGCCAUGCCGCGUGAAGGAAUAAGGCCCUAUGGGUCGUAAACUUCUUUUGACGGGGAGCAAUAAGGGUCACGUGUGGCCCGAUGAGAGUACUCGUCGAAUAAGCAUCGGCUAACUCCGUGCCAGCAGCCGCGGUAAUACGGAGGAUGCAAGCGUUAUCCGGAUUUAUUGGGUUUAAAGGGUGCGUAGGCGGACGUGUAAGUCAGGGGUGAAAUACCGGGGCUCAACCUCGGAACUGCCUUUGAUACUGCAUGUCUGGAGUUCGGAUGCCGUGGGAGGAAUGGGCAGUGUAGCGGUGAAAUGCAUAGAUAUUGCCCAGAACACCGAUUGCGAAGGCA